This 497-nucleotide ribosomal RNA is filed under the name uncultured bacterium. RNAcentral describes it as "partial 16S ribosomal RNA". It matches the Rfam family "Bacterial small subunit ribosomal RNA", at positions 28 to 507 of the family's 1533-position model. The record is from RNAcentral.
GACGAACGCUGGCGGCGUGCCUAAUACAUGCAAGUUGAGCGCUGAAGGUUGGUACUUGUACCAACUGGAUGAGCAGCGAACGGGUGAUUAACGCGUGGGGAAUCUGCCUUUGAGCGGGGGACAACAUUUGGAAACGAAUGCUAAUACCGCAUAAAAACUUUAAACACAAGUUUUAAGUUUGAAAGAUGCAAUUGCAUCACUCAAAGAUGAUCCCGCGUUGUAUUAGCUAGUUGGUGAGGUAAAGGCUCACCAAGGCGAUGAUACAUAGCCGACCUGAGAGGGUGGUCGGCCCAAUUGGGACUGAGACACGGCCCAAACUCCCACGGGAGGGAGCAGUAGGGAAUCUUCGGCAAUGGACGAAAGUCUGACCGAGGAACGCCGCGGGAGUGAAGGAGGGUUUCGGAUCGGAAAACUCUGUUGGUAGAGAAGAACGUUGGUGAGAGUGGAAAGCUCAUCAAGUGACGGUAACUACCCAGAAAGGGACGGCUAACUACGUG